Rhipicephalus microplus (southern cattle tick) is the source of this 233-nucleotide long non-coding RNA. The record is from RefSeq and is a predicted model, not a curated record. NCBI's taxonomy places the organism in Eukaryota, Metazoa, Arthropoda, Arachnida, Ixodida, Ixodidae.
AAAGAAGCAAGAGCACAAUUUUCGUAAGACCGAAAGAUGGUAGGCUAACGAUUGUAAAUGAACUUGUCUAUCUUAAUAAGAAAUGCAUGUGCUCUGUCAUCAGAAUCACGAUGCCGUUACUCCCCACUCGUCAUUUGUAUGACUUGCGAGUGUGGAACAAGUUUCUUGCAUCCAAGGAUAUAUCAAAGUGCAUUACAAAAUUUAAGAAAUUUGAACCCAGGGGUCAAAGCAUU